CAGUCGCCGCGGUAAUACGAAGGGUGCAAGCGUUAAUCGGAAUUACUGGGCGUAAAGCGUGCGUAGGCGGUUUGUUAAGUCUGUUGUGAAAUCCCCGGGCUCAACCUGAGAAUGGCAAUGGAUACUGGCAAGCUAGAGUGUGUCAGAGGAUGGUGGAAUUCCCGGUGUAGCGGUGAAAUGCGUAGAGAUCGGGAGGAACAUCAGUGGCGAAGACGGCCAUCUGGGACAACACUGACGCUGAGGCACGAAAGCGUGGGGAGCAAACAGGAUUAGAUACCCCUGUAGUCCCUGUCUCUUAUAC
This 301-nucleotide ribosomal RNA is filed under the name uncultured bacterium. RNAcentral describes it as "partial 16S ribosomal RNA". It matches the Rfam family "Bacterial small subunit ribosomal RNA", at positions 509 to 807 of the family's 1533-position model. The record is from RNAcentral.